GGAACGGCGGCGUCUUGAGAAGAGUUGGCAUAGUUGAUCUUGGAGCCCAGGUAGUGAUUAUGUUGGAUUUAGCCGGCUCACUCCCUGCCCCUUCCCCCAAGAGCAUACAUACCCACCGCACAGGUUGAACGUUUGACUCUAGGCAGACUGGUGCAGCCUGGAAGAUUGUGAUGCAAAGCUGUUUAUACUGGCUAUAAACGUGGUCUUCGAAACCAAAAAAAUAGCCUACCCUCUACUGAUGAUUGAUGGUGUUUAUUGCCGUGAUGAAACAGAUCUAUACACUGGCAAAAGAUGUGCCCAUGGUCUACAAAGCAAAGAACAAUGCUGUCCCUCCUGCAGGUACACCAAAUAAAACUCAUGUCAUUUGAGGUAAAGUGGCUCCUUCUCAUGGUAACAGUGGCACAUUCCAUGCCAAGUUCAGAAGGCUAUUGGGCAAAGGAUUCAUAUGGUGCUGGACUCGUUGAAAAUGUAAAGCAAACCUGUACAUGAAUUGCAAAUAAAUGGUAAAAUGGUCUAAA
Long non-coding RNA from Amblyraja radiata (thorny skate), 518 nucleotides. RefSeq lists it as uncharacterized. NCBI's taxonomy places the organism in Eukaryota, Metazoa, Chordata, Chondrichthyes, Rajiformes, Rajidae. The transcript is spliced from 2 exons. The record is from RefSeq and is a predicted model, not a curated record.